RNAcentral lists this ribosomal RNA (221 nucleotides) under Clostridioides difficile. RNAcentral's name for it is "partial 16S ribosomal RNA". It matches the Rfam family "Bacterial small subunit ribosomal RNA", at positions 925 to 1145 of the family's 1533-position model. Lineage: Bacteria; Bacillati; Bacillota; Clostridia; Peptostreptococcales; Peptostreptococcaceae. The record is from RNAcentral.
ACAAGUAGCGGAGCAUGUGGUUUAAUUCGAAGCAACGCGAAGAACCUUACCUAAGCUUGACAUCCCAAUGACAUCUCCUUAAUCGGAGAGUUCUCUUCGGGGACAUUGGUGACAGGUGGUGCAUGGUUGUCGUCAGCUCGUGUCGUGAGAUGUUGGGUUAAGUCCCGCAACGAGCGCAACCCUUGUCUUUAGUUGCCAUCAUUAAGUUGGGCACUCUAGAG